This is a long non-coding RNA of Prunus avium (sweet cherry), 368 nucleotides long. RefSeq lists it as uncharacterized. Lineage: Eukaryota; Viridiplantae; Streptophyta; Magnoliopsida; Rosales; Rosaceae. The record is from RefSeq and is a predicted model, not a curated record.
AUAUUUAAAUCUUCUCCAAGUGGCGUUUUGUCUUUACAAGCUUUCAGCUUUGGGACGGUUGGUGUCAGGUCUUACAGUUGCCUAUGCUGGAUUAUGCUUGUUUUGCCUUUAUAUCUUGGCCGAGAACAGUCAGUGCAUGUUUGUCUCGAUUUCUGAGGAGAACGAAUGAUCUAGCUGAGGAAGAUGCUGCAGAGCAAGAUACUCUGUUGUAGCUUAUGUUUUCUGUAACCUCCAUGUAUAAUGAAUCUUAGUAUAUUUUUGUGCGGUUGUAUUUCGGGCUACUCAUAGUUUCUGUGUACAUAUUGUUAACCAGGAGAUACAAUUUUACGAUGCAAAUUGUCGAAUAAUUGACACCAUUCCUGAAUAAA